RNA transcript from Oncorhynchus kisutch (coho salmon), 3089 nucleotides. RefSeq lists it as uncharacterized. The transcript is spliced from 9 exons. The record is from RefSeq and is a predicted model, not a curated record. Lineage: Eukaryota; Metazoa; Chordata; Actinopteri; Salmoniformes; Salmonidae.
GUUUAGCCGCGACACCACACUGUUGCGUCCGAGGAAUGGGCAGAGAGGGGGUGGUGUCUGGUGUGCGGACUUUUCUCGGUGAGACUGCCUCUACUUACGUUUUGUUGUGCACAGUCAUUCAAGCAAAUGUGACCGGAUCGUCUGCAUAUCAUUUCAGUUUGGCUGAAAGACACGCAGGGUCUCCCUGUAUUACCAACUCUGUUGAUGACGUCCACUUUGACCACACUAUAGGAUGCAGGUGAUUCCGCAGACGCAGACAGAGCAGAUGGAGUACCGUAUCGCGGCAGAGAGGAGGAGGAGGAUGAGACUGAUCCCCGCUGAGAUCAUCACAGACCUACUGAACAGCAGCACCGCUCAACUAGUGUGCAGAGGCCUACCAGGGUGCGUUGUGGCACAUCAAUGGCACCUUUAUGACCUUUUGAGGUGCUGGACAAAGGCAGAAAGCCACGCACGUUGCCCCAGAUACGACCCAAACUGGUGGAAUGCUGAUGCAUGAAUUCGCCUGGCUCAGAGAAGCGGUCUGUCUCAUCCGGACAUUCUCUAUGGCAAGGUGGAAAUCACAUUUGUAAUUUGAAACAUUUAUUGCAGAGGUCGGAGAGGCAGGAAGCCAGGUUUAGACAAACCCCCACUGUUGCAAACCAGAUGCUAGGCUAGAAGCAUGGGGAGAUAAUGUUGAGAUGUUUUUUUUCAUUUGGAGAUAAAGUUUAUGAAUUGACUGGCCCGGCUGUGGGACAGUAGAUGCGCAUUGAUAAUUCAAAUGGAACUGUUAACAGGCAUUACCUGUAGAUUAUUGUGAAUAAAUAAGGGCUAUCAACCAGUCACCAUCCAGGAUCCAAAUGUACCAUUUUAGAAUGUAAAUUGAGAAAUGCCAUUACAGUAAUGUCAAGAGACAAAUGCCUCUGCUCAUCCAAUUUCCUUGCAUAACGGUGAAAGCCAGGUCCCAAAUUCACUUCUUUAUUUAUUCUCAGGAUAGGGAAAGACACUACAAGAAGGCUAUCGCUAGGAAGAAAAUCCGACUGGACAGGAAGUACAUUAUCUCCUGCAAACAAACGGAGGUGCCUCUGUCUGUACCCUGGGACAUCAGCAACUAGGUAAGACAAAGCACACACACAUAUACACACACACUUACACGGAAGAAUCCAAACCGGUUUCUUGCUCAGCUGUAUCUCAGCUACAACAAUGUGUCUGCACUGAAAAUAAUGGCUGCUCCAAGCAACUGGAUGUUGAGCUCUGAGGAAAAACAAGGUACGUCUCGUUUGUGGAACAGUUAAACAUAAAGGCAUCAAUCAUUAGAAACAUUAUUCAACUAAAUUAGAAUAAGCUCAUAGGAUUGUUUGUUUCCUGCUAACUCUCCCCCUCUCCUCCCUACCGGCUAAUCCAAUUAUGACUUUCGAUGGCCAGCUGAAAAUGCACAGUCAUAGUGAGUGUUUUCGAAUUCAGAUUAAGUUGGAUGGAAGCAAUGUGGAACAAGUCAACUGCUUUCUUAAAGGAGCUAUGUAUAACAUUUCCACUUGCACUAAAUGUCAAUGAUUUAAUGAUCUAGCAGUAUAUGAAUAGAACCCUACAAGCCUCUGUUUAAACCCAUAUGGAUUCUAUAGUAAUUUCCAUGGUUUAUCCCCCUCCUUCCUUAUCUGUUCCCAGGUCAGUCUGCACACUCUGGAGAACCAAAUGCUUUGUUUUAAGGUAGAGACUCAUGUCAACGUCCCCGAUGAACAGGCCUUCCAUCUGCUCUCAGACCUGCGCAGGAGACAUGAGUGGGACAGGCAUUACCCAUGGACAAUGUGAUGUGAUCGUCCAUGCAGAUGAGAAUGAAACCAUCAACCGUGUGGCCACUCCGUGUGGACCCAUACCUGAUUGCCCUGCCACUAAGGAAUACACCCGGGGAGAAGUUCUCUGUGCAGGCUUCAGUAUCUGCGAGGAGUCCGACUCAGGAUCUCCUACUACAACCAGGCCACACCAGGAGUCCUCCAUGAUAUCUCCAACGACAUUGCAGGCCUUUCUUCCAGCUUCUAUGGCACCUUUCACUCCUGCAGCAAGUACAGAGAGGAGAACAGAGACAGCCUAGCCACCCUGCCCCCUUCUGACCUGUGACUGAAUGGUGUCAUCCUGAUCCCCUCUGUCCUGUCACAAAUGGUACAGUCCUGGAAGCGCUGCCCCUUUGACCUAUGAUAGAAUGGUACCAUUCUCCUGGCCGCCUUGCACCACUCUGGCCUGUGAAAGAUGGUAUCACCCAGCACCUUUCUGCCUUGUUACUGAAUGACACCGUCCUGCUGCCCUGCACCCCUACCAAUAUGUGCACUUGGAAAGGACCAGGAUAGCUAGUUCCCUUUACACCCAUUCUGUACUGAGGAACAGCCUAACUCUUAUCAUUGGGAGACCUGAGAACGCCAGUUCUGGGAUAUCCCCCGACCCCAACUGCCAAGGAAAUCUGUACUUUUGCUUUUCUAAAAUGUGGGAUUUUCAAAUGUGGGACUAGUUUUGGGAUUACUAAUGUUUGUUACUCUCUUGGAGGUUACAUCAUGAUCUUCCAGACCAGUGUACAUUUCCACACUACAGGUUACUCUUAUCUCUCAAGACUGUCAGCUGGUGAACGUCCAUUUGUAUAAUAUUAUAUCGAACUCACCUCAUCUUUUGAUAUUACGUGCAAUACUUAACAAUACUUGUGUUUAGUUAGGUCUUAUCUGGACAUUAAACAGUUAGUAGCCCUAUGAACAGGAGAAGUAUGCAAACUGGUUUGCUAUGCAGUUGAGUCUGACAUGUUUGUACAUGUUUUUGUCUUGUCUCUUGUUACCGAACUGUGGAUAAAAAAGCAGACUAGUUCAGGUAGGAGUAUUUACAUGCAAUUUGUUUUAUAAUAGGCUAUUUUCUACCUCCUUAAAUCACAUUCUUAAUUCACCAUUUGCCUUUCGAAUCUGUAGUCGAGAUAUACAUCUACUGUAUUUGUGAUUUUGAUUUGGGAGACUAGUGCGCUGUCUAAUCUCAGAAUGAGCCAAAUACACUUUGCUUCACAACAGGUAUUUCAACAUGAGUAGACGAGGUGAAUAAAUAGCCAUGAUUUCACUCGAACAAUAAACACAAUAGACCAGAGA